This 1013-nucleotide long non-coding RNA is filed under the name Numida meleagris (helmeted guineafowl). RNAcentral describes it as "lncRNA (ENSNMEG00000008395.1)". Lineage: Eukaryota; Metazoa; Chordata; Aves; Galliformes; Numididae. The record is from RNAcentral.
GUUUAGAGAACUAAAACCAAACAGACAAAUUUCAAGUAUACCUUAAUGACUGAGAAUGCCUGAUUAUCUAUAAAUACUGGUGUGAUUUAGUUUGUGGUUUUUUUUUGUCCUAGCACUUCAAGAACGAUCCAGAUAUACAAAUCCAGCAUCGAUAUCUCAUGAGUGAUUAGUCUGCUGUGAACAUUUGGAUGCAUUCAAGAAAGGACGUAGGAGAAGUGGGCUCGUGUUCAGUUUUCAGGAUUUUAAUUCAUUUCAGUCCUCAUCAAUCCUUUAUACUUCAGAGAGUGCAAGGACAUCAGGAGCCUGUUUUAACCUGUAGUGCCAAUCAUGUUGCGUCUUCUCAAAGCUUCAGCUCAGUCAAGGAGUUUCCAUCAGCAUGAAGACACAGGAUCUUUUGUACAUUAAGAAACAGCCUACACUUUCCCCAAGAGAAUCCUUGCAUCCUGCAUCCUCACUUCUCCAGCACUAAACCUGGGAGAAUUUGUGACAUUUGACAUCUGUGAGUUGAUUUCUGAAGACUGAAGUUCUGCAGUUGCUGAAAUGGCCGAAGCUUCCGUAAAUACAAGUGCACAGGUUGAAGUGAGUAUUGAUUUUGUACAUGAGGUAGAGCUUAGAACACAGACCAAAGGUUUACUAGCUGGGUGAGGUCUAUUUUUUUUCAAGACAUACAACAUAGUGGAGUGAUACGAUAGAUGGUUUUCAGAUUUAUGUAGAUAAAAAGAAACAGGUGAAGUUACAGCUGGUUCCACUAGCACCACAUACUUGAGUACUGCAAAUGAAGUAAUAGCAAUAGAUGGUGCUGUCAUCCACGAAGUGUUGGUUUUCAUUCUCCUCCAUCUAUAAUGAUAAAUUUUCUUAGUAACAGAGUCAACUGCUCUACAUUUUGGAAAGACAAAUCUCCAACCUCUAAGUAUUAAGUAUCUUUUCUAUAAAGCUUUUCAGUUUUGGAGGUAAUUAAGUUGUGUUAGAAUUGGGGAAAAAAAUCAAAUAAAGCUGAAAGAUAGAAAAUUCCA